This 480-nucleotide ribosomal RNA is filed under the name uncultured bacterium. RNAcentral describes it as "bacterial SSU rRNA". It matches the Rfam family "Bacterial small subunit ribosomal RNA", at positions 19 to 518 of the family's 1533-position model. The record is from RNAcentral.
AUGGCUCAGGACGAACGCUGGCGGCGUGCCUAACACAUGCAAGUCGAGCGAGGAGAUCCUCGGGAUGAUCCUAGCGGCGGACGGGUGAGUAACACGUGGGCAACCUGCCUCAUAGAGAGGAAUAGCCUUCCGAAAGGGAGAUUAAUACCUCAUAACAUUGCAGUUUCGCAUGGAACAGCAAUUAAAGGAGUAAUCCGCUAUGAGAUGGGCCCGCGGCGCAUUAGCUAGUUGGUGAGGUAACGGCUCACCAAGGCGACGAUGCGUAGCCGACCUGAGAGGGUGAUCGGCCACAUUGGGACUGAGACACGGCCCAGACUCCUACGGGAGGCAGCAGUGGGGAAUAUUGCACAAUGGGGGAAACCCUGAUGCAGCAACGCCGCGUGAGUGAUGACGGCCUUCGGGUUGUAAAGCUCUGUCUUCAGGGACGAUAAUGACGGUACCUGAGGAGGAAGCCACGGCUAACUACGUGCCAGCAGCUGC